CUCAAAAUAGGCUGUAGAUAGCUGAUUUCAUCGAGGGCUACCACUAGAUUUGCAUCCUCUAAACUGUUUUAACGAAGCCCCAUCGCCCAAUUUGGACAAUUAGAGAAGUAGAGUCGACUAAAGGUCCAACAACAUACCGAUCAGGAGGCAGUCGGUACCUAGGUUGAGGUGACCUCGUAGAUUCGACUAUUGGUAGGUGUCUCGAUAUUCAGUAGCUAUACUUUCGUUCGAGUCUCUCCACUAGAUAUCGAGUCUUCUUUUUAAGAUGUAUAGACAAACCUGAUGUAAAUUAUU
This is a non-coding RNA of Theobroma cacao (cacao), 294 nucleotides long. The record is from RefSeq and is a predicted model, not a curated record. NCBI's taxonomy places the organism in Eukaryota, Viridiplantae, Streptophyta, Magnoliopsida, Malvales, Malvaceae.